UUUAGAAACAUCAGAAUACCGCAAAUUAUGUCAACAUAUGUCACAUAAUAAUGCAGCUAUUUUAAAAGGUAUGUCAUUCAAAUGUGUACAUUUUAAAUAUUCAAAUCAUAUCUGAAAUAUGAAUUAAACUGGAAAACAUUAGCAUCGAGGAGUGGAAUCGAUAAGCUUGGUAUAACCCCGGAAUAUUUUAUUAUUUUUUCAGUUAUCUUUAAGGGGCUCGCGGGUCUAAAUCAAAUUUUUUUAUUUAAUAUAGGAUUUCUCUAUAUUUUCUAUAAAUAAACUUUAUCUUAUACUUAAUAGAAAAAUGAAAUAAAAAAAUGGGGUCACCGUUCAUUUACGCUCACAAUCUGCCUUCGAAAGAAGCAUACAUUUUUGUUAAUGUCCUUUUUUUUUGUUGAACUAAAAAUAGAAAUAGCGGUAAUAUCGAAAUAAAAAAAGAACUAAAUUACAGACAUCGCUUAAAUUUUACAAUCAUUUAGUUUAUGUACAGCUUAUUCGAAAACAAUAACAAAAAAUAUAGGUCAUCGAUGAGUUAAAAAAAAAGAUAUUUCAAUUUUAAUGCAAAAAAAAUGGCUUUUUUGCACCAAAGGCGCCAAUAAUUUGGAUAUUUUUCAAUGAUAUCUACAUUUUAAAAGUCACCUGGGGCCAACACGAAUUGUUUUUUUUUGGAAUGAUUUUUGUACCAUAUGAUAAAGUAACAACUGCUAAAGGUAAUAAAUAAAACUUGUAAUGAAAAUUUAAUGUUUAAUUUUUUUUUUGAAAAUCUUAUACCCGCGAGCCACCUUAAUAUUGACGAUUUCAUUAUUUUCCGAAUCUACAAAAGUAUAUAGAUAUUGAACUGACAUACCACAUUGUAUCCGAACCGAUUAAAUGGUUUGUCAACAAGUAAUAGAUAAAUCGGUAUAAUCUUUAUGAACGUCAUAGAUUUGAUUUAUUAUCUGGUGUUAAUAUUAAUGUCACUAUUUGCAGGUAAAGUAAGGGUUCUUGUAAUUUAAUUCUGAAUUGCAUAUUAACUGAAUGACUGAGAAAAAUUAAUAAUAAAAAAAUAAAUCAUCCAGAAGUAUUUUUUUGUGAUACAUUUAAGUUAUCUCCACACAAUCAUCUAACCUUAAUCUAGGCACAUAAUCUAGGCUAAUAAUAGAUAUAGGAAGAUGUGGUAUGAGUGCCAAUGAGACAACUCUCCAUCAAAAUAACAAUUUAUAAGAGUAAACCAUUAUGUCUGAAAUAAACUGCAUUUGAAAUACUGAAGACAUUAGGGUAUCUUAAAACCGAAAGUUUUCAGGAGGUAGGCGACAUUAUUUUUUUUUAAUUCUUGCCAUCCAUAUAGAAUCAUUAUAACAAUUUUGAAUAAUAACCAACUCAAAUGUUCAUCAGAAUUACCACUAAUUCCAAUGAAAACAAAAACUAGUGCAAGCACCAGUAACACAUAUACUGAUCAAAUUUGCAUUUCAAUAAUGUUUGUCUCUUCAGUGAAGAUGGAGACCAAAAUAUACGAAUAUCAAAAUCCUAGAUCAAUCAUUGCAGAUUAUCUCAAACUACGUUAAGGUCGUACCCAACACCUUGACUAAAAUUAAAUUGGCUCGUUUAAUUUUCAUAACAUUUUGACAAAAUAUUUACUUUGACUCUUUGAAAAAGAUAUGAAAAUUAUAAAAAAAAAAAUGAACCAAUCACUUUCUCGGAAAAAUUGGUUAGAUAUGUGGCAGUCUGACAAAAACUAAUUUUGAUCAUUGAGUAGCUAGAUAUUUCCCAUAUAAUACAAGGUGAUGAAAAAAUUUAUGUGAUUUUACAGAGUUAUCUCCCUUUAGUGUUAUGUAACACCUUACGAAGGCCUUAAAAUAGCCAAAUUUGGGCAAAAAAAUCGGAGCUUUGCAUAAGGGUCAUUUCUAAAUUUAAAAUUAAUUUUGAAGUUUUGUUGCAUUUAAUUUUUAUCAAACAAUUUCUGUUUUGCUAUGCCAGAACUGUAUUUUCCCCUAUUUUAUUGAAUAACACGAAAAAAAGUUCGGUGACCCCAUUUUUUUCUUUUUCUUAUUUGAAAACAGAUUUUUAGAGUUAUCUUUUCAUGUUUAAUUUUUAAAUUCUAUGGUGAUAAUUUUUUUAUAUCACAAAAAUGGGUUUUCCAGGCAUAAUCUAUAUAAUAUUGGACAAUUUGACCUGUAGCAUGAACGAAAAGCCUGGUGACUCACACUUUUUAUUAUAUUUUUGAAAAAACAUGAUAUGAACUAUAAUACUUUGACAAAUCAUUAAAAAUUUCUAUGAAUCUAAUUUAUACUAAUCCGCCCCUACCUCCCUCUCCGCCCCUUCAUCAACCUUAAAGAUUAGAAAAAAACAUAAAAAAUGUAGUACAAGUUUAGAACUGAAAAUCUAUUACAAAUACAUCACUAAAUAGGCGUAAAUACCAAUUCAAUGUAAAGUCUAUGCAUACAAUUUAUUUUCGUUUUUUAACAUAACUUGAAGCAUCAUAGGAUUUGAAUAACAACAUAACCUAUCAACUAAGUUCCUAAUUUUAGAGAUGUCCCUAGAACGACGAAGUUUACCGAAGUAUCGAUAGGAGCUUCAUCCUGAUCAUUUACAUAAUGUAUUCUUAAGACAGUAUUAAGGCAUAGGGUAAUUGAGUACUACGAGUACUAUAUUUGGAGCAGGAUCUGUUUGCCCUUUCGAAGUACAUUACAGCACUUCUAAAUGUUUCUCAGUUUUUGGGUUUAAUGUUUUUUUUGUGUUCUGCUGUUUACGUUUUGGUUUUGCUGUGGCAGAGUAAUUUUUUUGGACUUUGACAGUUUGACAAUCCUUUUUGUAGCUAUCAUGGAUGUUUCAACAUGUAGGUUUUGUAGAACUUAUUAUAAUUUUCAGGUCCACCUGGAACUUGGAAAUCCCAGCAUGCAUUUAACUAUGCACACAGUCGUUCAAAUGAUACGGAGAAUGCCAAUAAUUCAUUGAUUUGGCGGAUAGAUUGCAAUACUGAAUUAAACAUUUAUAAUUCUCUUUCUCAUUUAAUGAACUACCUAAAGUUACAAU
Molecule: long non-coding RNA, 3012 nt
Filed under: Mytilus galloprovincialis (Mediterranean mussel)
Lineage: Eukaryota; Metazoa; Mollusca; Bivalvia; Mytilida; Mytilidae
Source: RNAcentral